Artibeus jamaicensis (Jamaican fruit-eating bat) is the source of this 203-nucleotide long non-coding RNA. RefSeq lists it as uncharacterized. NCBI's taxonomy places the organism in Eukaryota, Metazoa, Chordata, Mammalia, Chiroptera, Phyllostomidae. The record is from RefSeq and is a predicted model, not a curated record. The transcript has 2 exons.
GUUCUUCUAGCGCCUGCGCCUCGUUGGGUCGGGGGGCCCCGGAAUCUGUGUGACCACGGCGGAGUCCUAUAAAUGUUGGCGCCGUCACGACCACGCUUUCUGGUUUUGCAGGACGCCCGGAUACCCCAAACCUAAGGCUGACGCUGCCAGGAACGUCGGGCUCGGCUGUCCUAAUCUUUCAAUAAAGCUGUUGGUCUAACGUG